UUUGAGAUUUAAAAAAAUAAAGUUAGAAAGUUGCAUCCGUAGGAUGGUUGUUUUCCAGUGGACAGCAAAGUAGCAUGAAUGGAAAGAAAUGCAAAGAGAGAUGAUCUAGUCUAAGGUGCAAUCCACAACGUGGGACAGAAUGAUCAAACACCGGGCAAUGCUUCUGCCUUUAGGCUCUAAUAUUGCAAUGGAAACACUCACCUCUCCAGAUCCAAACUAGCUUUUUCAAGGACCUUGAAGAAAAGUUGAAAACGACGCUGAUAAAUCGCGUUUAUUUCCUUCUGCAGGGUGGAAAAAACAAUAAUCUAGGAAAAGGACCUCAAGCCCAGGCGCUAUAGGGCUGUAUAGAGAAGGAGCCUUCCAGCUAGAAGCCGAUUUGUGGUCUCAGACAAAUUAAAUAUUACUGUUUAUUACCAGCCAUACUCCAAUAAAAUAAAGAGAGUUCAAGGCGAUAGCUGCUAUCUCACCAGCCCUUGCACCUAUAGGACUCAGAGACGUCAUCAUACACGCAACUGGCCCAUUCUAUCAUGGUUGACUGCAGCAGUAAUGGAAGGUUAAUUUGUAUUCUUCUUUUCCUUUAAAGCCCUAUCAGCUAGGUUUCCCCCUUUGCAAAGAAACACUCAGUGCAAUGCAAAAUGCAGCCAGCCUGGGGGGGAAAUAUAACCAAACAAACGUGCUUAAUACAUUUAAAGGGGAAGGACUGGAAAAUCCGAGUGCUGUCUUGGAAUGGAAGAGGAAAAUGACCAUUAAAGCCGUUGGCUCUCCAAGAUCAACUCCGUUAAUCCCAUGAGAGAGAGAUCGGAAGAGAAAUCAAGAGGAGAGAAAAUAAAUUGGACACCAUACGGCCCUCAGGAAAACCCUAGACACAAAGCAAGAAGUUGUUGCAGGAUCUGUGGACUUCAAGAUGACAUUAGCAAUGGACCGCUUCCCCAAGACAGCAGAAUGCAGCAUUGUUCUACCUGCAUUUUCCCCACAUCCACCAACCUGCCCCUCCAUAGUAGGACUCUGGACCAACAAGGGGCUACACACUGCAGCACUCCAACCCCACAGUCCUGCUGCCCUCGAGUUUAGAACAACAGAGGAAGAAGAAUGUGUGUGUCAGGAACGUGAAGGUUUGGCUAGGAGAGCAAAUGUCUGCCCACGCAAACUGCGCUCCUCGAGCCUGUAAGACCGAGCCUGCUCCUUCUUAUCCCAAAGCCUCUGGAAUUCCCAUUGAGGGCUUUCAUUUCCCCCCCCGCUUUCGUGGGCCCCCCUUGCCCCACUCAUACGAUGGCUUUCAAUCUUCAGAAGGAUAACAGCCCUGAAAGGCAGUCCUCCCCCCAGUCACCCCAUACACCAUCGCAGACAGGCAGGUAUGUUUGUAACUUCACUUCAUAGAACAGCAUCUUUUUUUUUUGGUACCUGUUUUAUUAUUAUAAUUAUUACAACACCGGAUGACCGAUCCCACUUAUUGUGUAUGAAGUGGGAAAUGGAUUUUCCUUGGUGAAUUCCUUCAGACGCUAAACAAUUCACAAUAUUAGAGUGUGGGUGUUUUUUUGGGGGGGGGGAGGCAUCCAGGGGUGAAACAAAAAAAGCGCGCAACUUGUGAUCUUCGUCUUUCAAGGAGUAGCCCUAAAUCAAAACACCUGUUGCAGAUUAUCCUGCGUUCCCCCCUUGUAAAUGGAAUCAUUUAAAUACAAACAAGCGAGGAUAAAUGUAUUGGUUUUCUCCCCCCUGACCUGGGAUCACAGCUUUGGAGCUCGGUAGCGCUUAGUUGAAGACAUUAAUAAUACAUUCGGGAAGCAAAUAUGGGAGCUUUUCUCAGGUCACCUUUCGCCCUGCACACAGAUACACAUACACACGUGAGCACACAGACAGCUACACCCAGAGAACAUACAUAAACCCACUCCCGACACACGAAUACACAGACACCCACACCCACGCAAAACGUAUUCAGAUGCACACAAUCAGGCCUAUCGAUAUAGCUACACACACACACACAAAACAUUGGCACACAGCUAUACACACAAACGCCACACUGAAAGCGGCGCGCAGAGUGUCCUCGCUAGGGGGGCUACACAAAACACAAGUUUUCAUCUCUCCCUACAGCUGGGGUUAUUUCACUCUGUCCAUCCCCUGCCGAAACCCCCUCGCCCAUCGCCAAGCACUCAGGUAACCAUCCCCCCCGGCCUUCGCUUUGGAAAGGAUCAAGGACCCAAGCGGGCGAACAUUACCUUGUUG
Non-coding RNA from Chrysemys picta bellii (western painted turtle), 2220 nucleotides. The record is from RefSeq and is a predicted model, not a curated record. Lineage: Eukaryota; Metazoa; Chordata; Testudines; Emydidae.